GUUAUAACCGGCGAUUUCCGAAUGGGGAAACCCAGUGUGUUUCGACACACUAUCAUUAACUGAAUCCAUAGGUUAAUGAGGCGAACCGGGGGAACUGAAACAUCUAAGUACCCCGAGGAAAAGAAAUCAACCGAGAUUCCCCCAGUAGCGGCGAGCGAACGGGGAGGAGCCCAGAGCCUGAAUCAGUGUGUGUGUUAGUGGAAGCGUCUGGAAAGGCGCGCGAUACAGGGUGACAGCCCCGUACACAAAAAUGCACAUGCUGUGAGCUCGAUGAGUAGGGCGGGACACGUGGUAUCCUGUCUGAAUAUGGGGGGACCAUCCUCCAAGGCUAAAUACUCCUGACUGACCGAUAGUGAACCAGUACCGUGAGGGAAAGGCGAAAAGAACCCCGGCGAGGGGAGUGAAAAAGAACCUGAAACCGUGUACGUACAAGCAGUGGGAGCACGCUUAGGCGUGUGACUGCGUACCUUUUGUAUAAUGGGUCAGCGACUUAUAUUCUGUAGCAAGGUUAACCGAAUAGGGGAGCCGAAGGGAAACCGAGUCUUAACUGGGCGUUAAGUUGCAGGGUAUAGACCCGAAACCCGGUGAUCUAGCCAUGGGCAGGUUGAAGGUUGGGUAACACUAACUGGAGGACCGAACCGACUAAUGUUGAAAAAUUAGCGGAUGACUUGUGGCUGGGGGUGAAAGGCCAAUCAAACCGGGAGAUAGCUGGUUCUCCCCGAAAGCUAUUUAGGUAGCGCCUCGUGAAUUCAUCUCCGGGGGUAGAGCACUGUUUCGGCAAGGGGGUCAUCCCGACUUACCAACCCGAUGCAAACUGCGAAUACCGGAGAAUGUUAUCACGGGAGACACACGGCGGGUGCUAACGUCCGUCGUGAAGAGGGAAACAACCCAGACCGCCAGCUAAGGUCCCAAAGUCAUGGUUAAGUGGGAAACGAUGUGGGAAGGCCCAGACAGCCAGGAUGUUGGCUUAGAAGCAGCCAUCAUUUAAAGAAAGCGUAAUAGCUCACUGGUCGAGUCGGCCUGCGCGGAAGAUGUAACGGGGCUAAACCAUGCACCGAAGCUGCGGCAGCGACGCUUAUGCGUUGUUGGGUAGGGGAGCGUUCUGUAAGCCUGUGAAGGUGUGCUGUGAGGCAUGCUGGAGGUAUCAGAAGUGCGAAUGCUGACAUAAGUAACGAUAAAGCGGGUGAAAAGCCCGCUCGCCGGAAGACCAAGGGUUCCUGUCCAACGUUAAUCGGGGCAGGGUGAGUCGACCCCUAAGGCGAGGCCGAAAGGCGUAGUCGAUGGGAAACAGGUUAAUAUUCCUGUACUUGGUGUUACUGCGAAGGGGGGACGGAGAAGGCUAUGUUGGCCGGGCGACGGUUGUCCCGGUUUAAGCGUGUAGGCUGGUUUUCCAGGCAAAUCCGGAAAAUCAAGGCUGAGGCGUGAUGACGAGGCACUACGGUGCUGAAGCAACAAAUGCCCUGCUUCCAGGAAAAGCCUCUAAGCAUCAGGUAACAUCAAAUCGUACCCCAAACCGACACAGGUGGUCAGGUAGAGAAUACCAAGGCGCUUGAGAGAACUCGGGUGAAGGAACUAGGCAAAAUGGUGCCGUAACUUCGGGAGAAGGCACGCUGAUAUGUAGGUGAAGCGACUUGCUCGUGGAGCUGAAAUCAGUCGAAGAUACCAGCUGGCUGCAACUGUUUAUUAAAAACACAGCACUGUGCAAACACGAAAGUGGACGUAUACGGUGUGACGCCUGCCCGGUGCCGGAAGGUUAAUUGAUGGGGUCAGCGCAAGCGAAGCUCUUGAUCGAAGCCCCGGUAAACGGCGGCCGUAACUAUAACGGUCCUAAGGUAGCGAAAUUCCUUGUCGGGUAAGUUCCGACCUGCACGAAUGGCGUAAUGAUGGCCAGGCUGUCUCCACCCGAGACUCAGUGAAAUUGAACUCGCUGUGAAGAUGCAGUGUACCCGCGGCAAGACGGAAAGACCCCGUGAACCUUUACUAUAGCUUGACACUGAACAUUGAGCCUUGAUGUGUAGGAUAGGUGGGAGGCUUAGAAGUGUGGACGCCAGUCUGCAUGGAGCCGACCUUGAAAUACCACCCUUUAAUGUUUGAUGUUCUAACGUUGACCCGUAAUCCGGGUUGCGGACAGUGUCUGGUGGGUAGUUUGACUGGGGCGGUCUCCUCCUAAAGAGUAACGGAGGAGCACGAAGGUUGGCUAAUCCUGGUCGGACAUCAGGAGGUUAGUGCAAUGGCAUAAGCCAGCUUGACUGCGAGCGUGACGGCGCGAGCAGGUGCGAAAGCAGGUCAUAGUGAUCCGGUGGUUCUGAAUGGAAGGGCCAUCGCUCAACGGAUAAAAGGUACUCCGGGGAUAACAGGCUGAUACCGCCCAAGAGUUCAUAUCGACGGCGGUGUUUGGCACCUCGAUGUCGGCUCAUCACAUCCUGGGGCUGAAGUAGGUCCCAAGGGUAUGGCUGUUCGCCAUUUAAAGUGGUACGCGAGCUGGGUUUAGAACGUCGUGAGACAGUUCGGUCCCUAUCUGCCGUGGGCGCUGGAGAACUGAGGGGGGCUGCUCCUAGUACGAGAGGACCGGAGUGGACGCAUCACUGGUGUUCGGGUUGUCAUGCCAAUGGCACUGCCCGGUAGCUAAAUGCGGAAGAGAUAAGUGCUGAAAGCAUCUAAGCACGAAACUUGCCCCGAGAUGAGUUCUCCCUGACCCUUUAAGGGUCCUGAAGGAACGUUGAAGACGACGACGUUGAUAGGCCGGGUGUGUAAGCGCA
Molecule: ribosomal RNA, 2759 nt
Filed under: Escherichia coli
Lineage: Bacteria; Pseudomonadati; Pseudomonadota; Gammaproteobacteria; Enterobacterales; Enterobacteriaceae
Description: partial 23S ribosomal RNA
Rfam family: Bacterial large subunit ribosomal RNA
Source: RNAcentral